Molecule: small nuclear RNA, 191 nt
Organism: Artibeus jamaicensis (Jamaican fruit-eating bat)
Lineage: Eukaryota; Metazoa; Chordata; Mammalia; Chiroptera; Phyllostomidae
Product: U2 spliceosomal RNA
Exons: 1
Source: RefSeq, a predicted model, not a curated record
GUCCCUUCUCAGUUUUUUGGCUUAGAUCAAGUGGAGUGUCAGUUCCUAUCAGUUUCGUAUCUGAUUUGUCUCCUGCCUGAGGACAAUAUAUUAAAUGGAUUUUUCGAUCAGGAGGAAGGAAUAGGAGCUUGCUCCAUCCACUCUGCUCACCAAUCCUGCACUGCAGUACCUCCAAGAGUGGUGCAAAAAAG